RNAcentral lists this microRNA precursor (79 nucleotides) under Bombyx mori (domestic silkworm). RNAcentral describes it as "microRNA bmo-mir-750 precursor". Its record names the gene bmo-mir-750. It matches the Rfam family "mir-750 microRNA precursor family". The record is from miRBase by way of RNAcentral. Lineage: Eukaryota; Metazoa; Arthropoda; Insecta; Lepidoptera; Bombycidae.
CUUCAUGUCUGAGUUGGACAGGGGAUCUUGACAGUUUCAUGGUUCGCUGCCAGAUCUAUCUUUCCAGCUCACGCGUGGA